CCUACGGGUGGCAGCAGUGAGGAAUAUUGGUCAAUGGACGCAAGCCUGAACCAGCCAAGCCGCGUGAAGGAUGACGGCCCUAUGAGUUGUAAACUGCUUUUGUACGGGAGUAAAGUCAAUUUGGUAUACCGCUGUGAAUGUACCGUACGAACAAGGAUCGGCUAACUCCGUGCCAGCAGCCGCGGUAAUACGGAGGAUGCGAGCGUUAACCGGAUUUAUUGGGUUUAAAGGGUGCGUAGGCGGGAUGUUAAGUCAGGGGUGAAAUCCCCCGGCUCAACGUGGGAAUUGCAUUUGAUACUGGCAAACUAGAGAGUAGUAGAGGAUAGCGGAAUGCAUGGUGUAGCAGUGAAAUGCGUAGAUAUC
RNAcentral lists this ribosomal RNA (363 nucleotides) under uncultured bacterium. Its description in RNAcentral is "partial 16S ribosomal RNA". It matches the Rfam family "Bacterial small subunit ribosomal RNA", at positions 338 to 698 of the family's 1533-position model. The record is from RNAcentral.